GGGGGGGGGGGGGGGGGGGGCGGGGGGGGGGGGGGGGGGGGGGGGGGGGGGGCUGGCGCCGGGGGGCAGCGGGGGGCGGGGGGGGGAUGCCGGGGAGUCUGCCGGGGAGUGGGGGCUAACGGCCGGAAACGGGCGCGCAUACCGCCUACGUCCUGCGGGAGGAAGUGGGGGAUCUUCGGACCUCCCGCUCUCAGAUGAGCCUAGGUCGGAUUAGCUAGUUGGUGGGGUAAAGGCCUACCAAGGCGACGAUCCGUCACUGGUCUGAGAGGAUGAUCAGUCACACUGGAACUGAGACACGGUCCAGACUCCUACGGGAGGCAGCAGUGGGGAAUAUUGGACAAAGGGCGAAAGCCUGAUCCAGCCAUGCCGCGUGUGUGAAGAAGGUCUUCGGAUUGUAAAGCACUUUAAGUUGGGAGGAAGGGCAGUAAGUUAAUACCUUGCUGUUUUGACGUUACCAACAGAAUAAGCACCGGCUAACUUCGUG
RNAcentral lists this ribosomal RNA (484 nucleotides) under uncultured bacterium. RNAcentral's name for it is "partial 16S ribosomal RNA". The stretch from base 52 to 484 matches the Rfam family "Bacterial small subunit ribosomal RNA", at positions 35 to 507 of the family's 1533-position model. The record is from RNAcentral.